Molecule: ribosomal RNA, 20 nt
Filed under: Wolffia arrhiza
Lineage: Eukaryota; Viridiplantae; Streptophyta; Magnoliopsida; Alismatales; Araceae
Description: partial 18S ribosomal RNA
Source: RNAcentral
CUGCCAGUAGUCAUAUGCUU